This 1125-nucleotide ribosomal RNA is filed under the name Triticum aestivum (bread wheat). RNAcentral describes it as "partial small subunit ribosomal RNA". Lineage: Eukaryota; Viridiplantae; Streptophyta; Magnoliopsida; Poales; Poaceae. The record is from RNAcentral.
AUGAGCCUGGCCCUGGGCAACGCCACCCUCAAGGUCCCCGUCGCUGGCGUCGGGGCCUUCCACGCGCUCACGGACCUCGUGCUCAGGCUGGCCAGGAUCGACCCCAGCGGCGCGGACGAGCACAAUCUCGGCCGCAUGCUGUCCUCGUCGUGCUGCCCGCGGCUGCGGCGCCUCCAGCUGGAGUACAUCGUCGGGAUUGCCACGCUCCGUCUGGACGCCGCCGACACUCUCGAGGACCUCCGGCUGGAGAGCCUCCCGGACAUGUUGUCGGUGGACGUGAACGCGCCAGGCCUCCGCGAGCUGCACAUUUUCCUUCCCGAGGAGGCCGCGGCCACAAGGGUCUCAGCCCCGAGGCUAGAGAUGGUGUCCUGCUCCGGCACCUCGGACCACCUACCGCUGGAGCUCGCCGGUGGGGCAUCAGCUAACGUCCGGCGUCUGCAAAGCCUCGGACUAUGGUCGCAUGGCCAUCCCCCGGGCCACCCAGAGGGAUACAUCAAUGCCGGCGUCGUGUGGCUGCUGGAGCAAUGCUCUGCCGCGGAGAGCCUGAAUGUGAACAUAUCCCCGCCGUUCUGCGAGGAGAUGGGCAGCGAAGAGAUAAUGAGCCUCAUGCCGGCGCUCCCCAAUGUCACCGACCUGGAGAUAGAAAUAACCAUGUCAUCAGGCCACCGCUUUGGUGCCAGCGUCGCCAGGUUCAUCCGCCAAUGCAGCAACGUCCGACUACUCUCCGUUGAUGUCAAAGACACGUACUACACACUGUGCACCAACCCUAGAUGCUUCUGCGGUUCAGAUUGCGAGGGGAACGUGGAGAUGUCGCUGCCACACCUCAUAGAAGCCAAGGUCUCCGGCGUGCGCCCGGUGGAGGAUCACAUGAACCUGGUGCGGCGGCUGGUGACGAGCGCGCCAAUGCUAGAGAGGAUGACCGUAGAGUUUGAGUCGUGGUCGCCGUCUUGGAAGAAGGAUAGAGGCUAUAGGGUUGUUGUCAAGGAUGACCUCCCAGCCUGUGAUGGAGCGCGCUGGAUUUGCUUGGAUCCGGUCGUAGUUUGGAUACGUUUGUGUGUGUUCAAGUUGGAUCCUUUUGAUCUACGCUACUCUUCAAUAGCGAUGGUUGCUGUUCUGGUUCGCUAG